UAGGGAAUCUUCCACAAUGGGCGCAAGCCUGAUGGAGCAACACCGCGUGGGUGAAGAAGGGUUUCGGCUCGUAAAGCUCUGUUGUUAAAGAAGAACACGUAUGAGAGUAACUGUUCAUACGUUGACGGUAUUUAACCAGAAAGUCACGGCUAACUACGUACCAG
This 164-nucleotide ribosomal RNA is filed under the name uncultured bacterium. RNAcentral's name for it is "partial 16S rRNA". It matches the Rfam family "Bacterial small subunit ribosomal RNA", at positions 355 to 511 of the family's 1533-position model. The record is from RNAcentral.